UACGUAGGGGGCAAGCGUUAUCCGGAUUUACUGGGUGUAAAGGGAGCGUAGACGGCAGCGCAAGUCUGAAGUGAAAUGCCGGGGCCCAACCCCGGAACUGCUUUGGAAACUGUGCAGCUGGAGUGCAGGAGAGGUAAGUGGAAUUCCUAGUGUAGCGGUGAAAUGCGUAGAUAUUAGGAGGAACACCGGUGGCGAAGGCGGCCUGCUGGACUGUAACUGACGUUGAGGCUCGAAAGCGUGGGUAUCGA
Molecule: ribosomal RNA, 248 nt
Filed under: uncultured Lachnospiraceae bacterium
Lineage: Bacteria; Bacillati; Bacillota; Clostridia; Lachnospirales; Lachnospiraceae
Description: partial 16S ribosomal RNA
Rfam family: Bacterial small subunit ribosomal RNA
Source: RNAcentral